GGGGCGGGGCCUGCCACCUGAGGGCGGGGUGUCCCGGCCGGAGCACACACCUGCUUCCGCCUGACGUGGACCCGUUAAGGUUUGAAAGGGAAGCCCGCGCUUCCGGUGUGACGUCUCAGCGGAAAGAACCGGGGAGCCGCGCGGCGCUGGGCCCCGGCGGCGGAAGACGGCGAGCGCGCGCGUCGUGGACGGGGACUGACGGCGCGGGCCUCCUUCCCGCCUUCGGGCUGGGAGGCGUUUUUAAGAAGUGACUCGACUGCCUGUGUGGUGGAAGACCAAGGGCCUUGAGCCUCACGGGUCCCGGCCAUCGGCGCACUGGACACGUCCAUCCAGACCCACGGUUCCUCUUCUUGGAGGAGAUUACAGGGCUGGGGGGAUGGCUCAGCGGUUAAGGCGCUUGCCUGCAAAACCGAAAGACGCAGGUUCGAUUCCCCAGGACCUAUGUAAAGCCAGGUGCACAUGUGGUACAUGCCUCAGGAGUUGGUUUGCUCUGUCUGGAGGCCCUGGUGCAUCCAUUCUCAAAUAAAUAAAUAAAAAUAAUUUUUUUUAACAAAAGUA
This is a long non-coding RNA of Jaculus jaculus (lesser Egyptian jerboa), 558 nucleotides long. RefSeq lists it as uncharacterized. The record is from RefSeq and is a predicted model, not a curated record. The transcript is spliced from 2 exons. Lineage: Eukaryota; Metazoa; Chordata; Mammalia; Rodentia; Dipodidae.